UAACCUUAUAAAAAGACACAACUCUUAGAACGGUAAAAAUGAUGUCAUCCAACUUUAACUAUGUUUUAGGGUGAUAAGAAUUGAGUAUUAAGUUUCAUAACAUUUCUUUGAGGCAAACUAAAGUUGGAUGAAAACUAUUUUUUAACGUAUGCAUGUAGACUGACAAAGGUAACUGCUGUGACGAGGAAAUAAAAACUUGUAACAGGGUUCACCUUGUGUAAGAUGCUGUGCUAGCCUCAAUAUUUAUGUAUAUUGCCCAGCUGAUGUUGCCAAAAACAUUACCAGCAUGCAAGUUUUAUUGCCAAGAUAAUUGUUCCAAGAUAUUUACUGAAAUGCCCAUUUCAAUUAUGACAUGCAUCACACUUUCUUUUCCAUAAUUUGGAAGUCAGUAUGAGUUUUGUUCAAUGUUGAAGACCAUAAGGUAACCUGUAGUUAUAAUUUCUACUUCAUUUGGUCUUUGGCAGAGAGUUGUAUCAUGGUAGGCAAUCAUACCACAUCCUCAUAUUUUUAUACCAAGUUUUGAAAUACAUGUACUCUCCUGACUAGUGUGCCAAUUAUGCAACAGAGUAAAUUUUCUAAUUGCUAAAGGUAUGUUUUUAAUUAAGUAAAGUGUUAUAAAUUCGUAAAAGAUCUAUGACUUGUAUUUAUAAAGUAUGCAUUAUUUAAAAUUGACCCCUGUCAAUGUUUAUCAACUUUUGCUGAUUAGAACUAUUCACCAAAGACCAACUGUCUAACACAAAUUUCUGUUCUAUAGUAAAGUAAAAACCUGCAAGGUCUAUAGAUAAGACAUUAAUCAGGCUAUGGAUUUAGAUAUUUAUCAAAGACCUAAAUUUUAUUUUCACUUUGAACACUGCUUUUCAGAGAAAAAAAAGAUAAAAUUACUAAUUAGUUUAAGGGCAGAGAAAAAAUAAAUUAAAAAAGAAUGUGUCUAAGGACAUGAAUGCUCAAGCUUUGCAAUUUCAAAAAGGCUCACUCCCAAAAUUUGAACUCUGUACGUCAGCAAGUUGUUUUGAUUCUCAGGAAUUGUAAGCAUGGUAAGGCCAAAUAAAAAAGUAUUUGUGGUUCCAGUUACAGCUGAAAAAAAGUUAGGGUAGGUAGGUAGGCAUUUUUUUUUAUUUUAUGGGUUUUUUUUUACAUUGAGUCUAUGGGAGCAAUGUUCCGACUUUAACAGUGCUUAAUGAAAAAUGACAAUAAAAUCUUUAGGGUAGGCUAUUUUUAAGCCGAAAAAGUAGGGACGGUAGGGUUACUGGAACCACAAAUAUAUUUUUAUUUGGCCUAAGUGAGUUUCAUAAAAUUUGCAAGAUGCAAAAUUUAGUCAAGAGUACAAUAAGGAAAAUGGGACGGACAGAGAUAAAGGGUAACACUUAAUGCCCCAUUUGACAAUGUUGACUAUAUCAAACGGGGCCAUCAAAAUAUAGUUCAACUUCUGUUUCUUGCUUGCCCAUCCAUCCCCAAAUAUUUAUGACUACUACUACUAUAGUAUAUUUAUGGACAUUUUGGGUUCAGCACUGUUAAGGUAGAAAUUUUUCAUUUAGCAUAUUUGAAGUCAAGAACAAUCAAUUCAUGCACAUAAUUGCUUCAUAAAUAUUUGUGUGAAAAAGAGGUUCAUUGUGCAUGCACUGCCAAAGAAGAGUUGACAUUGAAAGAAGGACUAAAAAUGAUUGUCAAUGUUAUUACAUUUCUUUUUUUCAAUUACAAAAACAUUGACAAAGAACUGAUGAC
This 1722-nucleotide long non-coding RNA is filed under the name Mytilus galloprovincialis (Mediterranean mussel). The record is from RNAcentral. Lineage: Eukaryota; Metazoa; Mollusca; Bivalvia; Mytilida; Mytilidae.